This 253-nucleotide ribosomal RNA is filed under the name uncultured bacterium. RNAcentral's name for it is "partial 16S ribosomal RNA". It matches the Rfam family "Bacterial small subunit ribosomal RNA", at positions 524 to 776 of the family's 1533-position model. The record is from RNAcentral.
UACGUAGGGUGCAAGCGUUGCUCGGAAUUACUGGGCGUAAAGCGUGCGCGGGCGGUUUUGUAAGACAGAUGUGAAAUCCCCGGGCUCAACCUGGGAGCUGCAUUUGUGACUGCACGGCUGGAGUGCGGCAGAGGGGGAUGGAAUUCCGCGUGUAGCAGUGAAAUGCGUAGAUAUGCGGAGGAACACCGAUGGCGAAGGCAAUCCCCUGGGCCUGCACUGACGCUCAUGCACGAAAGCGUGGGGAGCAAACAGG